RNAcentral lists this ribosomal RNA (340 nucleotides) under uncultured bacterium. RNAcentral describes it as "bacterial SSU rRNA". It matches the Rfam family "Bacterial small subunit ribosomal RNA", at positions 28 to 369 of the family's 1533-position model. The record is from RNAcentral.
GACGAACGCUGGCGGCGUGCUUAACACAUGCAAGUCGAGCGGUAAGGCCCUUUCGGGGGUACACGAGCGGCGAACGGGUGAGUAACACGUGGGUGACCUGCCCUCAGCUCUGGGAUAAGCCUGGGAAACCGGGUCUAAUACCGGAUAUGACUCCAUGACGCAUGUUGUGGGGUGGAAAGCCUUGUGCGGCUGAGGAUGGGCCCGNGGCCUAUCAGCUUGUUGGUGGGGUGAUGGCCUACCAAGGCGACGACGGGUAGCCGGCCUGAGAGGGCGACCGGCCACACUGGGACUGAGACACGGCCCAGACUCCUACGGGAGGCAGCAGUGGGGAAUCUUGCGC